Molecule: long non-coding RNA, 2354 nt
Filed under: Homo sapiens (human)
Lineage: Eukaryota; Metazoa; Chordata; Mammalia; Primates; Hominidae
Description: HSALNT0272888
Source: RNAcentral
CCGCUGCAGGCCCCGCCCACCAGCCCGGGUCCACCCGCGAGGCGCGGGGCACAGGCUUGGCAGAUGCACACGAGGAAGAGGAAGGGAUCCUCGCAAGCUUUGAAAGGCGCCGUCAAGUCAAAUAAAUAAAUGCCCUACAACACCAACCCAGGACUGAGAUCUGCAUGCUGGAAUGACGGUGGUGGUGGUGGCUUUCAGUAUUCCCCAGGUUUUGUCCGGAGCACCGGCACGCCCUCUCUUGAAGUCCGCUCUCCGCACAGAAAUAACUAGUUUCUUUCAGAGACUACUAAGAAAGCGUUAAUUUCCUCUUUUUAACUUGAUUAGUGGUUAGACGGGAAGAUCCGGAGCUGUCCAGUGUCUUGGGUAAUGCACGGCAUCGCCUGAUGUCUGACGCUAGAACACCACGUAAAGUCAAGCAGAGGGAAGUGAAUGCGCCCUAGGCCCCUGCAGGCCACCAAGAAGAGCUAGAGGGAGUUGGUGCAAUCCUAGAGAUGCCGGCAGGUGCACCAAUCUGUGGCACACGUACGCUCUCCAAUGGAAGACAACUCAAGACCACACCAAGUUUGUAUUAAAAAAGUACUGUUGUGUUACUUUUUACCAACCUCCAAUCAUUAUACAAAAUGUUAAAAAAUACACAAACACACACACACACUCACAGCCAUAGAGGUUAUCGCAAAAGAUCAACCCAGAAUCUUUCAGAAUAUGACAGAUGCACUGAGAAGGCAGAUAAAUUGAUUCAAUAUACAAAAGGCCUCUUUCCUAUGGAAUUUCAUUAGAUUAAAUAAGGUGUUCCCUCCUCACAGCCUCAUCCUUAUGAGCAAUCAUAUAAAUAAUCUAUUUAAAGUCCUUGAACUAUAACUUGUAUAAUUUUUAGUUUUCCCCCUUUGAAGGGGCCUAAGAGAAAGGUUUGAGAAACCAGCUCUUGAGGGGGGCAGGGGUGAGGGGUAAGAGGUCCUGUGCCUUUCAUUCAUCCUGGGAGCUUCUCAGGAUUGCAGCAUUUCCACCUGAGUGUUCAUUCUUGUACAUUUUCUCAUCUUUCUCCUGGGUUCCUAGGAUCUUGGAGAUUACCUAGUCCAAUCCUUUUACUUCAGAAACAAAAAACCUGAGGCUCAGAAAGGCUAAGUCAAAUGCCUAGGGUCACACAGGGAAACUGUGGGAGUUGGAUCCCUGAGUCCCAGUCCUUAAACUGGUUGCUACAUGACAUUCUAGAACCUCUCCCCACCAACUCCCUUUUUAAAGACAGGGUCUGGUUCUGUCACCCAGGCUGAAGUGCAGUGACAUGAUCUUGGCUCACUGCAACCUCCGCUUCCUGGGCUCAAGCCAUUCUCCCACCUCAGCCUCCCAAGUAGCUGGGACAACAGGCACAUGCCACUACGCCCAGUUAAUUUUUCUAAUUUUGUUUUGUAGAGACAGAUUUGCCAUGUUGCCCAGGCUGGUCUCGAAUUACUGGCCUCAAGCGAUACGCCUGUUUAGGCAUCCCAAAGUGCUGGGGUUACCGGCAGGAGCAAUUGCUCCGGGCCAGACUUCCCUUCCCCCGCCCACACCCCCCCAACCCGGCCUAGAUCCACAGGCACUGUAAUCACAGCUGACACACUCGACUCGGAAUCAGCAUAGAGAGCACUCUGAAAAUUGUCAAAUAGGGUCCCUGAAACUUGUAUACCAUACUUCUCCUGAAGAUCUUGAAGCAUCUUUGUGUUUGCUUUUUUUUUUUUUAACUUAAAAUAUGGCAUUCAGGUUUUAUCCCUCUCCCCGACGCCAUGUUUCCUUUCUGUAUUAGUCACACACGUGAUCCUAAAGUCUGUCUUCCCCACUUUAACUGGGGAGGGCUGGACAAGGUGGAAUUCCAAUUGCAGGAGACAGGAUGUGACAUGGGUGAGGUGCCCAAGGCUCACCGACUGAAACUUCGAUGGCUCUUCCCUGUUUCCUUGUGCAGGGCCCCCCUUCUCUCCACUGCUCACCUGGCUCUCCUCCUCCCUUCCUGCCUGCUUUGCAGCUCUUGCUACUAUUUUCCUUUUCUUUCCCUGCUCCCACCCUGGCCCAAUUUAUUUCACAGAAAUAUCACAGGGCCAGCCAGGCACAGCGGCUCACCCCUGUAAUCCCAGCACUUUACGAGGCUGAGGAGGGCAGAUCACUUGAGGUCAGGAGUUUGAGACCAGCCUGGCCAACAUGGUAAAAUCCUGUCUCUACUAAAAAUACAAAAAUUUGCUAGGCAUGGUGGCAGGCGCCUGUAAUCCCAGCUACUUGCGAGGGAGGCUGAGGCAGGAGAAUCACUUGAACCUGGGAGGCGGAUGUUGCAGUGAGCCAAGAUCACACCAUUGCGCUCCAGCUUGGGCGACAGAACGAGACUCUGUCUC